This 734-nucleotide ribosomal RNA is filed under the name Bacillus thermotolerans. Its description in RNAcentral is "bacterial SSU rRNA". It matches the Rfam family "Bacterial small subunit ribosomal RNA", at positions 49 to 765 of the family's 1533-position model. Lineage: Bacteria; Bacillati; Bacillota; Bacilli; Caryophanales; Bacillaceae. The record is from RNAcentral.
CUAUACAUGCAAGUCGAGCGGACGGAAGGGAGCUUGCUCCCGGAAGUCAGCGGCGGACGGGUGAGUAACACGUGGGUAACCUGCCUGUAAGACUGGGAUAACUCCGGGAAACCGGGGCUAAUACCGGAUAGCUUUUUCCUCCGCAUGGAGGAAGAAUGAAAGGCGGCCUUUGGCUGUCACUUACAGAUGGACCCGCGGCGCAUUAGCUAGUUGGUGGGGUAACGGCUCACCAAGGCGACGAUGCGUAGCCGACCUGAGAGGGUGAUCGGCCACACUGGGACUGAGACACGGCCCAGACUCCUACGGGAGGCAGCAGUAGGGAAUCUUCCGCAAUGGACGAAAGUCUGACGGAGCAACGCCGCGUGAGUGAAGAAGGUUUUCGGAUCGUAAAGCUCUGUUGUCAGGGAAGAACAAGUACCGGAGUCACUGCCGGUACCUUGACGGUACCUGACCAGAAAGCCACGGCUAACUACGUGCCAGCAGCCGCGGUAAUACGUAGGUGGCAAGCGUUGUCCGGAAUUAUUGGGCGUAAAGCGCGCGCAGGCGGCCUUUUAAGUCUGAUGUGAAAGCCCACGGCUCAACCGUGGAGGGUCAUUGGAAACUGGAAGGCUUGAGUGCAGAAGAGGAGAGCGGAAUUCCACGUGUAGCGGUGAAAUGCGUAGAGAUGUGGAGGAACACCAGUGGCGAAGGCGGCUCUCUGGUCUGUAACUGACGCUGAGGCGCGAAAGCGUGGG